CCUACGGGUGGCAGCAGUGGGGAAUAUUGGACAAUGGGGGGAACCCUGAUCCAGCCAUGCCGCGUGUGUGAAGAAGGCCCUCGGGUUGUAAAGCACUUUCAGUGAGGAAGAACGCCUGGUGGUUAAUACCCAUCAGGAAAGACAUCACUCACAGAAGAAGCACCGGCUAACUCCGUGCCAGCAGCCGCGGUAAUACGGAGGGUGCGAGCGUUAAUCGGAAUUACUGGGCGUAAAGCGCGCGUAGGUGGCUUGAUAAGCCGGUUGUGAAAGUCCCGGGCUCAACCUGGGAACGGCAUCCGGAACUGUCAAGCUAGAGUGCAGGAGAGGAAGGUAGAAUUCCCGGUGUAGCGGUGAAAUGCGUAGAGAUCGGGAGGAAUACCAGUGGCGAAGGCGGCCUUCUGGACUGACACUGACACUGAGGUGCGAAAGCGUGGGUAGCAAACAGGAUUAGAUACCCCAGUAGUC
RNAcentral lists this ribosomal RNA (465 nucleotides) under Vreelandella stevensii. Its description in RNAcentral is "partial 16S ribosomal RNA". It matches the Rfam family "Bacterial small subunit ribosomal RNA", at positions 338 to 795 of the family's 1533-position model. The record is from RNAcentral. Lineage: Bacteria; Pseudomonadati; Pseudomonadota; Gammaproteobacteria; Oceanospirillales; Halomonadaceae.